UAGUAAGUGUUUAAGAGCGUACGGUGGAUGCCUUGGCACCAGGAGCCGAUGAAGGACGUAGGAGGCUGCGAUAAGCCUCGGGGAGCUGUCAACCGAGCUGAGAUCCGAGGAUUUCCGAAUGGGGAAACCCAGCACGAGUGAUGUCGUGUUACCCGCAUCUGAAUAUAUAGGGUGUGUGGAGGGAACGUGGGGAAGUGAAACAUCUCAGUACCCACAGGAAGAGAAAACAAAUAGUGAUUCCGUGAGUAGUGGCGAGCGAAAGCGGAUGAGGCUAAACCAUGCGUGUGUGAUAGUCGGCAGGUGUUGCACGUGUGGGGUUGUGGGGCUCAUUUUCUUGUUACUGCCGUGGCAAGCAACAGUCAGAAAAGUGUGUGUUAGCUGAAUUGGUCUGGGACGGCCAACCGUAGACGGUGAGAGUCCGGUAAGCGAAAAUGCAUGCUCUGUUGUAGUGAGUACCCGAGUAGCAGCGGGCCCGUGAAAUCUGCUGUGAAUCUGCCGGGACCACCCGGUAAGCCUGAAUACUCCCUGGUGACCGAUAGCGGACUAGUACCGUGAGGGAAAGGUGAAAAGUACCCCGGGAGGGGAGUGAAAUAGUACCUGAAACCGUGCGCUUACAAUCCGUCAGAGCCUUCGAGCAGUUUGCUGUUGGGGGUGAUGGCGUGCCUUUUGAAGAAUGAGCCUGCGAGUUAGUGGCAUGUGGCGAGGUUAACCCGUGUGGGGUAGCCGUAGCGAAAGCGAGUCCGAAUAGGGCGGUUGAGUCGCAUGUUCUAGACCCGAAGCGGAGUGAUCUACCCAUGGCCAGGGUGAAGCGACGGUAAGACGUCGUGGAGGCCCGAACCCACUUAGGUUGAAAACUGAGGGGAUGAGCUGUGGGUAGGGGUGAAAGGCCAAUCAAACUCCGUGAUAGCUGGUUCUCCCCGAAAUGCAUUUAGGUGCAGCGUCACGUGUUUCACGCCGGAGGUAGAGCUACUGGAUGGCCUAGGGGGCCCACAAGCUUACCGAAGUCAGCCAAACUCCGAAUGCCGGUGUGUGAGAGCGUGGCAGUGAGACUGCGGGGGAUAAGCUUCGUAGUCGAGAGGGAAACAGCCCAGAUCGCCGGCUAAGGCCCCUAAGCGUGUACUAAGUGGAAAAGGAUGUGGGGUCGCGAAGACAACCAGGAGGUUGGCUUAGAAGCAGCCACCCUUGAAAGAGUGCGUAAUAGCUCACUGGUCAAGUGAUCCUGCGCCGACAAUGUAGCGGGGCUCAAGUACACCGCCGAAGCCGCGGCACUCGAACAUAUACAUCCGCAUUGGACUACGGUCUGGUGUGCAGUGGUUCGGGUGGGUAGGGGAGCGUCCUGUAGCCAGGGAAGCAGCAGUGUGAACUAGUUGUGGAGGCUAUGGGAGUGAGAAUGCAGGCAUGAGUAGCGAAAGACGAGUGAGAAACUCGUCCGCCGAAUGACCAAGGGUUCCUGGGCCAGGUUAAUCCGCCCAGGGUGAGUCGGGACCUAAGGCGAGGCCGACAGGCGUAGUCGAUGGACAACGGGUUGAUAUUCCCGUACCCGUGUAUCCGCGCCCAGUGGCGAAUCAUCUGUGCUAAGUGCCCAAAAGCGGAUGGACCUCCUUCGGGAGGCCGGAAGUGGCUGCGCACGAUCCUGGGUGUAGUAGUCAAGCGAUGGGGUGACGCAGGAAGGUAGCUGGGCCAGUGAGUGGUAGUACUGGUGUAAGCCUGUAGGGCGUUGUGUAGGCAAAUCCGCACAGCAUAUAGCCUGAGAGGUGAUGCGUAGCCGAUUGAGGCGAAUUCAGUGAUCCUAUGCUGCCGAGAAAAGCCUCUAGUGAGUUGGUACACGGCCCGUACCCCAAACCGACACAGGUGGUCAGGUAGAGAAUACCGAGGCGAUCGAGAGAACUGUGGUUAAGGAACUCGGCAAAAUGCCCCCGUAACUUCGGGAGAAGGGGGACC
RNAcentral lists this ribosomal RNA (1941 nucleotides) under Nocardia higoensis. RNAcentral's name for it is "partial 23S ribosomal RNA". It matches the Rfam family "Bacterial large subunit ribosomal RNA", at positions 1 to 1752 of the family's 2925-position model. The record is from RNAcentral. Lineage: Bacteria; Bacillati; Actinomycetota; Actinomycetes; Mycobacteriales; Nocardiaceae.